This 305-nucleotide ribosomal RNA is filed under the name uncultured bacterium. Its description in RNAcentral is "bacterial SSU rRNA". It matches the Rfam family "Bacterial small subunit ribosomal RNA", at positions 336 to 658 of the family's 1533-position model. The record is from RNAcentral.
UUCCUACGGGGGGCAGCAGUAAGGGAUAUUGGUCAAUGGGGGAAACCCUGAACCAGCAACGCCGCGUGAGGGAAGACGGUUUUCGGAUUGUAAACCUCUGUCCUCUGUGAAGAUGAUGACGGUAGCAGAGGAGGAAGCACCGGCUAAAUACGUGCCAGCAGCCGCGGUAAUACGUAUGGUGCAAGCGUUAUCCGGAUUUACUGGGUGUAAAGGGAGCGCAGGCGGCACGGCAAGCCUGAUGUGAAAGCCCGCGGCCCAACCGCGGGCCUGCCUUGGGAACUACCGGGCUGGAGUGCCGGAGAGGG